This 440-nucleotide ribosomal RNA is filed under the name uncultured bacterium. RNAcentral's name for it is "bacterial SSU rRNA". It matches the Rfam family "Bacterial small subunit ribosomal RNA", at positions 29 to 517 of the family's 1533-position model. The record is from RNAcentral.
AACGAACGCUGGCGGCAGGCCUAACACAUGCAAGUCGAACGCACCGCAAGGUGAGUGGCGCACGGGUGAGUAACACGUGGGAAUGCACCCUUUGGUUCGGAAUAACGUUUGGAAACGAACGCUAAUACCGGAUGAGCCCUGCGGGGGAAAGAUUUAUCGCCAAAGGAGCAGCCCGCGUCUGAUUAGCUAGUUGGUGGGGUAAAGGCCUACCAAGGCGACGAUCAGUAGCUGGUCUGAGAGGAUGAUCAGCCACACUGGGACUGAGACACGGCCCAGACUCCUACGGGAGGCAGCAGUGGGGAAUAUUGGACAAUGGGCGCAAGCCUGAUCCAGCCAUGCCGCGUGAGUGAUGAAGGCCUUCGGGUUGUAAAGCUCUUUCGCACGCGACGAUGAUGACGGUAGCGUGAGAGAAGCCCCGGCUAACUUCGUGCCAGCAGCCG